UCCUACGGGGGGCAGCAGUGGGGAAUAUUGGACAAUGGGGGCAACCCUGAUCCAGCAAUUCCGCGUGUGUGAAGAAGGCUUGCGGGUUGUAAAGCACUUUCAGUAGAGAAGAAAGGCGUCGGGUUAAUAACCUGGCGUCUUGACGUAACCUACAGAAGAAGCACCGGCUAACUCCGUGCCAGCAGCCGCGGUAAUACGGAGGGUGCGAGCGUUAAUCGGAAUUACUGGGCGUAAAGCGCGCGUAGGCGGCUACGUAAGUUGGAUGUGAAAGCCCCGGGCUUAACCUGGGAAUUGCAUCCAAAACUGCGUGACUAGAGUAUGUGAGAGGGAAGGGGAAUUCCGGGUGUAGCGGUGAAAUGCGUAGAUAUCCGGAGGAACACCAGUGGCGAAGGCGCCCUCCUGGCACAAUACUGACGCUGAGGUGCGAAAGCGUGGGGAGCGAACAGGAUUAGAUACCCUGGUAGUCCACGCCGUAAACGAUGAGAACUAGAUGUCAGGAGGGUUAGCCUCUUGGUGUCGCAGCUAACGCAUUAAGUUCUCCGCCUGGGGAGUACGGCCGCAAGGUUGAAACUCAAAGGAAUUGACGG
RNAcentral lists this ribosomal RNA (587 nucleotides) under uncultured Gammaproteobacteria bacterium. RNAcentral's name for it is "bacterial SSU rRNA". It matches the Rfam family "Bacterial small subunit ribosomal RNA", at positions 337 to 916 of the family's 1533-position model. Lineage: Bacteria; Pseudomonadati; Pseudomonadota; Gammaproteobacteria. The record is from RNAcentral.